CGGAUGCUGCACGCCAUCUAGUGGAUGGCUUGGCUCAAUACGCCGAUGAAGGGCGUGACAAGCUGCGAUAAUCCUGGGCGAGGCGCAAGUAGCCUUUGAACCCGGGGUGCCCGAAUGGGAUUUCCUAACCCUUGCGUAAGCAGGGGUUACUCGCAUUAGCGAGGGGGAACCCGGGGAAUUGAAACAUCUUAGUACCCGGAGGAAAAGAAAUCAAAAUGAGAUGCCGUGAGUAAAGGCGAUCGAAAGCGGCAAAGGGCAAACCGAAACAUCUGUAGAAAUACAGAUGUGAUGUGGGGCGGUAUGCCAAGUGCAAUCCCACCCGAGGAAGCCGAAGUCCCUUGGAACGGGGCGCCGUAGAGGGUGAAAGCCCCGUAGGUAUAACUCGGAGGAUUGCGGCAUACCAAGAGUAGCGUGCGUUGGAUAUCGCGCGUGAAUAUGGGAGGCAUCGACUUCCAACCCUAAAUACGUUUUGAGACCGAUAGCGGAGUAGUACCGUGAGGGAAAGUUGAAAAGUACCCUUGGCAGGGGGUGAAAAGAGCCUGAAACUAGAUGGCUAUAGCCCGCCGCAGCGUGAAAGGAUUGAGUCUCUCCGAAGGAACCCAUUGUGAAGUGGUAGUACGAGGAGAGAGGACCAGCGUUGCGGCAUCCGUUUUGAAGAACGGGGCGGGGAGUCUAUGGUUAUGGCGAGACUAAGGGGUUAACCCGGAGUCGUAGCGAAAGCGACAGGUCCGCAGCGAAAGCGAGGGACGGGGUGUGAAAGCGCCCGGAGUCAUAGCCAUAGGACCCGAAACCAGUCGAUCUAGCCCGGGACAGGGUGAAGUCACGGGAAACUGUGAUGGAAGCCCGAACCGGUGUUGACAUGCAAAUCACUCGGGUGAUCCUGGGCUAGGGGCGAAAGACCAAUCAAGACUGGUGUCAGCUGGUUCCUCCCGAAAUGUCUCGCAGGACAGCCUGGCCAGAGGUUGAUGGUGGUUUAGAGCACUGAUUGGGUAUUUAGGGGGCGAAAGCCCUCGGUAUCCUGUCAAACUCCGAAGCCUCCAUCGCCGUAGAAGGCCAGAGUGAGGGUAUGGGGGUAAGCUCCAUAUCCGAAAGGGGAAUAACCCUGACUGGGGUUAAGGCCCGUAAAUGCUAGCUAAGUGCUAAAUAUGAAGGGAGUCCUCGGCCUAAGACAGUGGGGAGGUAGGCUUAGAAGCAGCCACCCUUUAAAGAGUUCGUAACAGAUCACCCACCGAGGUCUAGGGCCCCGAAAAUCGACAGGGUUAAGCUAGCUGCCGAUACCCCAGCGGUCCGAGAGGAUAGCGUGUAGGGAGGCGUCCUGUUCGGGCAGAAGGAGGGCGGUAACGUCCUCUGGACCGAAUGGGAUUGAGAAUCCCGCCAGUAGUAGCAGCAAAGAACGGUGAGAAUCCGUUCCGCCGAAAGGGCGAGGUUUCCUCAGCAAUGUUCGUCAGCUGAGGGUUAGUCGGUCCUAAGGGCAUGCGUAACUCGACAUGCUCGAAAGGGAAACAGGUUAAAAUUCCUGUACCACAGAGGUACGCGCGGCGACGCUAAGUCCGUUCCUGACCCUUCGGGGUAGGCCGAGUUGGAUUGUCGUCCAAUUUAAGCGUUUAAGUCUGGGGAGAAUCGUAAUGAUGAGAACCAGACGAAGGCGCGAAUAGGCUUCCGUUAGGAGGCUUCGGCUGAGCCCUGGAGGCCGUGAAAAAGGAGCGGAAAGGAUCCUCUGUGACCGUACUUAGAACCGACACAGGUGCCCCUGGGUGAGAAGCCUAAGGCGUGUCGGAUCAAAUCAGUCAAGGGAAUUCGGCAAAUUGGCCCCGUAUCUUCGGUAGAAGGGGUGCCAGCCCUGCGUAGGGGCUGGUCGCAGUGACUAGGGGGCUCCGACUGUUUAAUAAAAACAUAGGCAACAGCUAGCCCGAAAGGGUGUGUACUGUUGCUAACUCCUGCCCAGUGGCGGUAAGUUAAAGCCGGGUUCAACCGGCCUAAGCUCCGCUAAACGGCGGGGGUAACUAUAACCCUCUUAAGGUAGCGUAAUACCUUGUCGCUUAAUUGGCGACUUGCAUGAAUGGAUGAACGAGAGCCCCGCUGUCCCUGACUGAUAUCCGGUGAACCUGUUGUGCUGGUGAACAGACCAGCGACUCCCAACGGGUAAAGAAGACCCUGUGGAGCUUUACUACAGCCUGCCGUUGUGACAUUGGCGCAGAUGUAGAGCGUAGGUGGGAGCCAUCGAAGCCUUGGCGCCAGCUGAGGUGGAGGCAUCAAUGGAACACCACCCGUCUGUGUUAAUGCCACUAACUGCUUCGGCAGGACAUCGGUAGGUGGGUAGUUUGGCUGGGGCGGCACCCCCCUGAAAAAAUAUCAGGGGGGCUCUAAGGUUGGCUCAACCGGGUCAGAAAUCCGGUGUAGAAUGUAAGGGUAAAAGCCAGCCUGACUGGAAUUCGCGCAGAGAGAAUUCCAGCCGCGAAAGCGUGACCUAACGAACCUCCGUGUGCUCCUCGAUGGGGCCCGGAGAUGACAGAAAAGCUACCUCAGGGAUAACUGAGUUGUCGCGGGCAAGAGUUCACAUCGACCCCGCGGCUUGCUACUUCGAUGUCGGCUCUUUCCAUCCUGGGUGUGCAGCAGCAUCCAAGGGUGGGGUUGUUCGCCCAUCAAAGGGGAUCGUGAGCUGGGUUUAGACCGUCGUGAGACAGGUUAGUUUUUAACUGUUGGGAGUGUGGGCCGCCUGAGGGAAAGGUCCAUCUAGUACGAGAGGAACGGUGGACCGCGGCCUCUGGUUUAUCAGCUGUCUGACAAGGCAUGCUGAGCAGCUACGCCGCAUGCGGAUAAGAGCUGAAGGCAUCUAAGCUCGAAACCGCUCUCGAAAAUAGGCGGCCAUUUCCUUGCAUAUAGCGGGAUCCGCGAGGAUAACGCUGCAAGGAACGAGGGCACGGGCAAAAAGACCCGGUUGAUAGGACAGGGGUGUAAGCACGAAGCUUCGGCGACGUGUUCAGCCCGCUGUUACUAAUAGCCCGAGGCGUCUGGU
RNAcentral lists this ribosomal RNA (3016 nucleotides) under Hydrothermarchaeum profundi (SeqCode). RNAcentral's name for it is "bacterial LSU rRNA". It matches the Rfam family "Archaeal large subunit ribosomal RNA". The record is from RNAcentral. Lineage: Archaea; Methanobacteriati; Candidatus Hydrothermarchaeota; Hydrothermarchaeia (SeqCode); Hydrothermarchaeales (SeqCode); Hydrothermarchaeaceae (SeqCode).